AUUUAGUGAUUGCUGCGGGAAGGAUCUGUUGUUCCUGCAGUGAAGAAGCACUGCUGAUGUGUGACAUUCACAGAAAUCCCACAGGAAACAGACAGGAAGAAGCAAGUCCCAUCUCCCUCCUCCAGCCUUGCAGCUGCCUGACUGUGCUUAUGAGCAGAGCCUUACCUUGAGGCAACAAGUAAAGCAGAGACGUGGAGUGAAGAACCCCAGCUCUAACCUCAGACAGCAGAGAAUAGAAGGUUCUAAUACCCACCUGCGUUACUUGAUUCUAAAGCCCACCUGCAUUCCUUCAUCUUCAAGCCAGUAACAGCAGGUAGAGCUCCCAUAGCACAUCAACCUGACCGUUCCUCUGCCUCGCUCUUCC
RNAcentral lists this long non-coding RNA (364 nucleotides) under Equus caballus (horse). RNAcentral's name for it is "lncRNA (ENSECAG00000052486.1)". Lineage: Eukaryota; Metazoa; Chordata; Mammalia; Perissodactyla; Equidae. The record is from RNAcentral.